This 474-nucleotide long non-coding RNA is filed under the name Gallus gallus (chicken). Lineage: Eukaryota; Metazoa; Chordata; Aves; Galliformes; Phasianidae. The record is from RNAcentral.
UUUAUGGGGUCUCUUUAUGGGGUGGGUUUAUGGGACCCCCUCCCCCCCAAAACCCCAUAGGAUCGCCUUCCAUCCUCCAUGGGUCUCACGGUCAGUGGGGCACUGUGGGGUCCCUUUAUGGAGUCUCUUUAUGGGGUGGGUUUAUGGGACCCCCCCCCAAAACCCCAUAGGAUCGCCUUCCAUCCUCUAUGGGUCUCACAUUCAAUGGGGCACUGCAGGGUCCCUUUAUGGGGUCUCUUUAUGGGGUGGGUUUAUGGGCUCUCUUUAUGGGGUGGGUUUAUGGGGUCCAACCCCCCCCCCAGCGCCGCUAUGGGGCCGUUUGUGGGAUUCUCAUCGUCUUCCGUGAAGACCCCCCAGCUAUGCAAACGCACGGACACUUUUUGGGGUGAAAAAGGGGCAAAAAGGGCAAAAAGAGACACACAAAUGGGAAGGGCCGAAAGAACCCCGACCCCAAUGGGAGCCUUUGGGGUUUUU